Molecule: long non-coding RNA, 205 nt
Filed under: Gossypium barbadense (sea-island cotton)
Lineage: Eukaryota; Viridiplantae; Streptophyta; Magnoliopsida; Malvales; Malvaceae
Description: long non-coding RNA (GBAR_LNC003097)
Source: RNAcentral
UAGAGUACUUCGAAAUAGCACAACUCGGUUAUAGAAACAAAGAAAAAGAACCACAAUUCACAAAAACCCAAAAGAAACUAGAGAGAAAAGACCCCAAAAGAGAGACAAUGCCGAAAGUUCUAGAGGAAAAACACUCAGUCGAAAUCCCUAUACCCACUACCUAAUUUCGGCACAACUCCACUACUCUUCAAACACCACUUUUUCC